This 468-nucleotide ribosomal RNA is filed under the name uncultured bacterium. RNAcentral's name for it is "partial 16S ribosomal RNA". It matches the Rfam family "Bacterial small subunit ribosomal RNA", at positions 28 to 507 of the family's 1533-position model. The record is from RNAcentral.
GACGAACGCUGGCGGCGUGCUUAACACAUGCAAGUCGAACGGAAAGGCCCUGCUUUUGUGGGGUGCUCGAGUAGCGAACGGGUGAGUAACACGUGAGUAACCUGCCCUUGACUUUGGGAUAACUUCAGGAAACUGGGGCUAAUACCGGAUAGGAGCUCCUGCUGCAUGGUGGGGGUUGGAAAGUUUCGGCGGUUGGGGAUGGACUCGCGGCUUAUCAGCUUGUUGGUGGGGUAGUGGCUUACCAAGGAUUUGACGGGUAGCCGGCCUGAGAGGGUGACCGGCGACAUUGGGACUAAGAUACGGCCCAGACUCGUACGGGAGGCAGCAGUGGGGAAUAUUACACAGUAGGCGGAAGCCAGAUGCAGCGACGCCGCGUGCGGGAUAACGGGCUUCGGGUUGUAAACCGCUUUCGCCUGUGACGAAGCGUGAGUGACGGUAAUGGGUAAAGAAGCACCGGCUAACUACGUG